Molecule: transfer RNA, 84 nt
Filed under: Candidatus Zixiibacteriota bacterium
Lineage: Bacteria; Pseudomonadati; Candidatus Zixiibacteriota
Description: tRNA-Leu
Rfam family: tRNA
About the family: Transfer RNA (tRNA) molecules are approximately 80 nucleotides in length. Their secondary structure includes four short double-helical elements and three loops (D, anti-codon, and T loops).
Source: RNAcentral
GCGAAAGUGGCGGAAUUGGUAGACGCGCUGGACUUAGGAUCCAGUGGCCGAGAGGCCAUAGGGGUUCGAUUCCCCUCUUUCGCA